UUCUCUUUUAAAGGYAGACUCAAUGCGGUGCUCGGGGACCGAGACUCGAGUCUUCGUAAGUGACUUUCUUCUCCUGGCAAGUAAAAUCGUGUUGUAAAGGGAAACUCACUGCAGAACUCACAAAGUGCGAUGCAACGAUCAGGUUAUUUACCGCGGAGCUUGGUAAGUCCUUUUGCAUUUUUUUGUUGUUAAUCUGUAUGUGUUUCAUCUGCCUUGCGAAAAGCGGGGUCUUCAAGGCCAAAUUACAGAAGCUUAAAACCCCAAAGUCAUGCAAAAAUAAUUGCAAGCGGGGUAACUUAGGCUAGAAUAAAAAUUACCUUGUAGUCUGAAUUACA
This 335-nucleotide long non-coding RNA is filed under the name Dromaius novaehollandiae (emu). RNAcentral's name for it is "lncRNA (ENSDNVG00000011295.1)". Lineage: Eukaryota; Metazoa; Chordata; Aves; Casuariiformes; Dromaiidae. The record is from RNAcentral.